Vicia villosa (hairy vetch) is the source of this 2549-nucleotide long non-coding RNA. RefSeq lists it as uncharacterized. The transcript has 9 exons. NCBI's taxonomy places the organism in Eukaryota, Viridiplantae, Streptophyta, Magnoliopsida, Fabales, Fabaceae. The record is from RefSeq and is a predicted model, not a curated record.
GUUUAAUUUUCAUUGUUAUGAGGUGAGUUUUGUGUUAUGGAAGUUUGUUACCGAUAUUCUUAUGGUUUUCUGAUUUUUCUCAUAUAAAUUGAAAUCGGUGAUGGUGAUUAUGGAGAGAAAUGUGGAGAUAUGUAGUAGCUUUGAGUAAUGCACUUAGUCGGUUACAAUCAAACAAACCUCUUAGAGAACUGAUAUCUAAUAACCUCUACUUUCAUUUUAUUGUUAUUGUUAUAGAGCUAUGAUAGAGUGUGGUAAUACAAUACAAGGAAUUUUGAGUUAAUGUUUAUACAAGGUGUAUGGCAAGGAAGCUUUCAGACCGACCAGAAGGUCAAGAAGAUUAUAUUAACUGUUAAUGCCCAGGUUGGAUAAAGACAACUCUCACAGGUUUUACAAAGAACAAUACUGUUGAGGAAGGUGCUUGUACUUAAUGAACGUGCUCUUAAAGUUGCUGAGGUAUGUGAGACUACGACUACAUAAAUUGUGUGAAUGUUUUUCGUGUUUGAAUUAUAUUGUAUCUACACGACAUUGAUGAAUUGUGUUUAUGUGGUUUUGGUUGGGCAAAAUUGGAUUUGAAGAACAAGCCAAACAUGAAGGCCUCAAUUGGGUUUCUGUUUUUGGUUUAUUGUAAGUGCGAAUGUAUAAAUGAUGCAGGCUUAUUCUACUGUUGGUUUAUUUAUUACUUUUGCUCCUCUUGCAAAAAUAUGUCUAAUGAAUGUAUGUGUAACAGUCUUCUAACACAGAGUCUUUGGGUGAACGUAAAAGCUUGAUGACAUCACAGAGAUGACUUUUGAGGGACACAAUUUUAUUUUCAAUGUAUCUCUCUUUCAGGUUCCAAUUUAUCGUGAAGUGGUGCACAGGUUCUCUAGCUGUAUUUAAUUCUGACUAUAGUUCAUGUCAUUGCACAAACUCGAUUGGUACAAAGGGAGGGUCCUGUUAUCCUGAAUUUAGCACCAGAGUUAGCUGUUCAAAUUCAACAAGAAGCUAUGAAGUUUGGGUCACAGUCAAAUAUUAGAUGCACAUGCAUAUACGGUGGUGCUCGAAAGGCCCGUCAAAUGAAGCACACGGUUGAUCCUGAUUUACCUGAUUUUCUUCUGCCACCUUCCUUUGAACAAUGCUUUCCUAAGAGCACAAAAGAAUCCAGUCGUUCAUGAAGAAAUGGGUCAUGUGCUCAAAGUUCCAUUUCGACGCAUUCACGUGUCUGGUGAUGAAUCUCACUUUGGUAACAAUGAUACCAAUGGUCCUCAAAAUAUAAUUCCAAGGACAUACUACCGAAAUUGUGCAAAGAGUGGAUUGAGAGGAGAGAAAAAACAGGUCCUCCAAGAUUCACUCAGAUGUACUAUGCUAAGCAGGGAUUCAUUACCGAGGAGAUGCUUUAAUGUGCUGCUGGUGAGAAGCUCGACCCAAAGUUUGUGAGGUCCGACAAUUGGAGUUUCUGUUUCAUUUCUGCAUUUGGAACCUAUUUUCAGGAUUCUUCAUCGCGAGACCUAUAAAGCAUUCCAGUAUGGUGGAGAUGGUACUACUGAGCAUGUCCCGUUGCAUGGACCAUCUACGGAUUGGUUGCAUCUCAAUUUGGAGAUAUAACUACUGGUAUGAGGACUGAAAAUGGAAAGACUGUGAAAAUGUUCAUUGGAGACUUUUAUGUUAUCAAACAUGACUUCAUAGGAGAGAGUACAAUUGUGGUUGUCGGUAUUGUUGUUCUCUUUGCAUUACCCUUCAUAGUUUGUUAGAGAACAAUAUUCUGUUUGGCAAGCUAUACAGAUGGACCCGGAAUUCGCAAAGAACAUUGGGCAGAUUGUUCUGCUUGGUGGAGCUUUUGUAGUAAGGGAAAUGUGAAUCCAGCUUCUGAAGCAAAUAAAAUGAGCUACAUGUUCCUCUGCUAUCAUUUUCUGCUAUCAUGGGAGAAACAAAAUUGGUGCGUUAGCGGAUAACCUUGCUGAUAGACGUUGCAAGAUAUCGUUUAAAGCACCGAUGACUCAUGAUGCAAAGAGGGAGGAGAUUACUAAAAUCGGCACUUCUGGUGGCGAAGAAACAGUUGAAGGAGGAGACUCUCAGCAUAUUAAAAGCUUCAUUGACUUCAACUUCUGUUCUAACAAAUUGUCUCACCCUAUACAUAAUGUAGAAAUUCAUGCAUGAACAAAGGUCUCAGUCUAUUCCUAAAGAGUAGCUCUUGGAAGCACAGUAGUCAAUUACAACCAUUGGAUGUUGCAUAAUAGAGUUUUGAACAUAGUGGUGUUGUUUCCCUCUGGCGGUAUUCUAAUAUCUGAUCGUUGCUCAACGGGAGAUUUCUUUAUAUAUCAUUUACAACUUUAUCUUCUUUUAAUUGAAUAUAUUAGUUAUAGGUUAUAAUACUACCUCUGUUAAUUAACAAACAUGAAGUAGUAGCUAUUUUGGUUAUGGUAGUUUGCAGUUGUUAUCAGUAUGUAGAUGAUAUAAGGAGGGACUCUAUGGACAUCAUUUUCCUGAGAGUUUCAACAUUGUUUGCUUGGCUAAAUAGUUUAACUCAAUCAAUGUUUCAUGUACUGUUGUAUGUGGUACAGAUUGAGAUGACA